RNAcentral lists this ribosomal RNA (460 nucleotides) under uncultured bacterium. Its description in RNAcentral is "partial 16S ribosomal RNA". It matches the Rfam family "Bacterial small subunit ribosomal RNA", at positions 338 to 795 of the family's 1533-position model. The record is from RNAcentral.
CCUACGGGUGGCAGCGGUGAGGAAUAUUGGUCAAUGGGCGCGAGCCUGAACCAGCCAAGUAGCGUGAAGGAUGACUGCCCUACGGGUUGUAAACUUCUUUUAUACAGGAAUAAAGUGCGGCACGUGUGCCUUUUUGUAUGUAUUUUAUGAAUAAGGAUCGGCUAACUCCGUGCCAGCAGCCGCGGUAAUACGGAGGAUCCGAGCGUUAUCCGGAUUUAUUGGGUUUAAAGGGUGCGUAGAUGGGUUGUUAAGUCAGUUGUGAAAGUUUGCGGCUCAACCGUAAAAUUGCAAUUGAUACUGGCAGCCUUGAGUACAGUUGAGGUAGGCGGAAUUCGUGGUGUAGCGGUGAAAUGCUGAGAUAUCACGAAGAACGCCGAUUGCGAAGGCAGCUUACUAAACUGCCACUGACAUUGAUGCUCGAAAGUGUGGGUAUCAAACAGGAUUAGAUACCCCUGUAGUC